UACAGAGGGUGCAAGCGUUGUUCGGAAUUAUUGGGCGUAAAGAGCUCGUAGGCGGUUUGUCGCGUCUGCCGUGAAAGUCCGGGGCUCAACUCCGGAUCUGCGGUGGGUACGGGCAGACUAGAGUGAUGUAGGGGAGACUGGAAUUCCUGGUGUAGCGGUGAAAUGCGCAGAUAUCAGGAGGAACACCGAUGGCGAAGGCAGGUCUCUGGGCAUUAACUGACGCUGAGGAGCGAAAGCAUGGGGAGCGAACAGG
RNAcentral lists this ribosomal RNA (253 nucleotides) under uncultured bacterium. Its description in RNAcentral is "partial 16S ribosomal RNA". It matches the Rfam family "Bacterial small subunit ribosomal RNA", at positions 524 to 776 of the family's 1533-position model. The record is from RNAcentral.